GCAACGUACCGGGCGGCACGGCCUGCAGUGGACUCUUAAUCCGCGGGUUGUAGGUUCAAGUCCUACGCGGCGCAC
This 75-nucleotide transfer RNA is filed under the name Actinoplanes auranticolor. Its description in RNAcentral is "tRNA-Lys". Lineage: Bacteria; Bacillati; Actinomycetota; Actinomycetes; Micromonosporales; Micromonosporaceae. The record is from RNAcentral.